Molecule: ribosomal RNA, 550 nt
Filed under: uncultured bacterium
Lineage: Bacteria
Description: bacterial SSU rRNA
Rfam family: Bacterial small subunit ribosomal RNA
Source: RNAcentral
UAGGGAAUCUUCGGCAAUGGGGGCAACCCUGACCGAGCAACGCCGCGUGAGUGAAGAAGGUUUUCGGAUCGUAAAGCUCUGUUGUAAGUCAAGAACGAGUGUGAGAGUGGAAAGUUCACACUGUGACGGUAGCUUACCAGAAAGGGACGGCUAACUACGUGCCAGCAGCCGCGGUAAUACGUAGGUCCCGAGCGUUGUCCGGAUUUAUUGGGCGUAAAGCGAGCGCAGGCGGUUUGAUAAGUCUGAGGUUAAAGGCUGUGGCUCAACCAUAGUUCGCUUUGGAAACUGUCAAACUUGAGUGCAGAAGGGGAGAGUGGAAUUCCAUGUGUAGCGGUGAAAUGCGUAGAUAUAUGGAGGAACACCGGUGGCGAAAGCGGCUCUCUGGUCUGUAACUGACGCUGAGGCUCGAAAGCGUGGGGAGCGAACAGGAUUAGAUACCCUGGUAGUCCACGCCGUAAACGAUGAGUGCUAGGUGUUGGAUCCUUUCCGGGAUUCAGUGCCGCAGCUAACGCAUUAAGCACUCCGCCUGGGGAGUACGACCGCAAGGUUG